GAACCCUAGAUUUGCCACAAGAUUUAACAGAUCCGCCCAUGUCACUGUUCUUGUGGUCGAGUAGCUUAAAUCAAGGUCGGCGGUGGAGAUAGCAGGAGGGGGAUGGGCGAAGAGACGACGGUAGAAGAGCCAGAACGGUACGUGGGGAAUGAUAGCCACCAUUGUUGUUGUUCUCCGAGGAUGUCCAUUCGUCUUCCUGUGUGUCUCAGACGGAUAUUUUGUUUUUUUUGGAAGGGUCUGGAACAUUUCAGGAGGAUUUGAAGGCGAGGAGAAGAAGUAAUUCUGAUAAUUGUUUUUUAGUCCUACGAAUUGAUGUUAUUUCUAAUUAAAUCCGAUUGAAUUUACAUUUAUUUAUUAAAAAAAAAAGUAUAACCUGCAAAUAGUAGAAAAAUAUGGGGUAGUCCAGACAUUUAACCUUUUUCUGUUAACUUUAACGGUUUAUUAGACGGUCGCUACAACUUGUCAACCACA
Molecule: long non-coding RNA, 471 nt
Filed under: Erythranthe guttata (spotted monkey flower)
Lineage: Eukaryota; Viridiplantae; Streptophyta; Magnoliopsida; Lamiales; Phrymaceae
Description: long non-coding RNA (EGUT_LNC000780)
Source: RNAcentral